GUGGUGUGCUCAGGAUUCUGCUCUUCUAAUGAUGUGGUUUUGUAUAUGCUUGGUGCUCGCAGUUGACGGAGAAAAAGCUGGCAACUUCAUGCGGGAGAUAAAGGUGCAGAAGCUCGUCCUUGACAUCUCCGUCGGGGAGUCAAGAUCGCCUCAGCCGUGCGCCGAUGUAACCAUGCAGGAUACGCGAUUUGGUGGUGCUACUUUUCCCAAGACUUGAGGACGUGAAGGUUUUACGGUAGCUCCACGUCAAGGUUUGAUGACAUGUGAAGCCUACUUAUCAAAAAAGUAUCAGAGCUUUGGUUGUACUGUACGAUACAUGAUGUAAUA
Molecule: non-coding RNA, 327 nt
Organism: Lolium perenne
Lineage: Eukaryota; Viridiplantae; Streptophyta; Magnoliopsida; Poales; Poaceae
Source: RefSeq, a predicted model, not a curated record